ACGUCGGGUCCGCGUGCACGCCUGCGCGUCCCGCCUGUGUGCAGCGAGCCAGCCAGUCAGCGCCGUGGAGAUUGGGCUAGCGACGGAGGCUGAGGCCGAGUCGGAGCCCGGAUUCCCCAGCCUGUUGGAGCAGCUGACUAGGGAGUGCCAAUUGUCCUGUGCUUCCCGGCUCCUACUUUGCCUGUCUUCUCUCUCUCCUGGGAAGAUGUUCCUGGUGGGCCUAACGGGAGGCAUUGCCUCGGGCAAGAGCUCCGUCAUCCAGGUGUUCCAGCAGCUGGGCUAUGCUGUGAUCGACGUGGACGUCAUAGCAUGGCAUGUUGUCCAGCCAAGGUAUCCUGCCCACCGGCGUAUAGUAGAGGACUUUGGCACUGAAGUCUUGCUGGAGAAUGGCGACAUUGACCGCAAGGUCCUCGGAGACCUGAUCUUCAACCAGCCUGACCGUCGGCAACUGCUCAACUCCAUCACCCACCCUGAGAUCCGCAAGGAAAUGAUGAAAGAGACCUUCAAGUACUUUCUCCGAGGGUAUCGAUACGUGAUUCUGGACAUCCCCCUCCUGUUUGAGACCAAGAAGCUGCUCAAGUACAUGAAGCACACGGUGGUAGUGUACUGUGACCGUGAUACACAGCUGGCAUGGCUGAUGAAGCGGAACAACCUGAGCCGGGAGGAUGCAGAGGCAAGGAUCAAUGCCCAGCUGCCCCUG
This is an RNA transcript of Mastomys coucha (southern multimammate mouse), 700 nucleotides long. It is a transcript of the gene named dephospho-CoA kinase domain-containing protein pseudogene, with no coding region annotated. The record is from RefSeq and is a predicted model, not a curated record. The transcript has a single exon. Lineage: Eukaryota; Metazoa; Chordata; Mammalia; Rodentia; Muridae.